RNAcentral lists this ribosomal RNA (253 nucleotides) under uncultured bacterium. Its description in RNAcentral is "partial 16S ribosomal RNA". It matches the Rfam family "Bacterial small subunit ribosomal RNA", at positions 524 to 776 of the family's 1533-position model. The record is from RNAcentral.
UACGUAGGUCCCGAGCGUUGUCCGGAUUUAUUGGGUGUAAAGGGAGCGUAGACGGCAGUGCAAGUCUGGAGUGAAAGGCGGGGGCUCAACCCCCGGACUGCUCUGGAAACUGUACGGCUGGAGUGCAGGAGAGGUAAGUGGAAUUCCUAGUGUAGCGGUGAAAUGCGUAGAUAUUAGGAGGAACACCAGUGGCGAAGGCAGCUUACUGGACUGUAACUGACGUUGAGGCUCGAAAGCGUGGGGAGCAAACAGG